GCAAGUCGAACGGCAGCAUGAUCUGCUUGCAGAUUGAUGGCGAGUGGCGAACGGGUGAGUAACGCGUAGGAAUCUACCUUGAAGAGGGGGAUAACCCGGGGAAACUCGGGCUAAUACCGCAUAAUUUCUUUGGAACAAAGCUGGGGACCUUUUCGGAGGCCUGGCACUUUGAGAUGAGCCUGCGUCCGAUUAGCUUGUUGGUGGGGUAAAGGCCUACCAAGGCGACGAUCGGUAGCUGGUCUGAGAGGAUGGAC
Molecule: ribosomal RNA, 254 nt
Filed under: uncultured bacterium
Lineage: Bacteria
Description: partial 16S ribosomal RNA
Rfam family: Bacterial small subunit ribosomal RNA
Source: RNAcentral